UACGUAGGGUGCGAGCGUUGUCCGGAAUUACUGGGCGUAAAGAGCUCGUAGGUGGUUUGUCGCGUUGUUCGUGAAAACCGGGGGCUUAACCCUCGGCGUGCGGGCGAUACGGGCAGACUUGAGUACUGCAGGGGAGACUGGAAUUCCUGGUGUAGCGGUGAAAUGCGCAGAUAUCAGGAGGAACACCGGUGGCGAAGGCGGGUCUCUGGGCAGUAACUGACGCUGAGGAGCGAAAGCGUGGGGAGCGAACAGG
Molecule: ribosomal RNA, 253 nt
Filed under: uncultured bacterium
Lineage: Bacteria
Description: partial 16S ribosomal RNA
Rfam family: Bacterial small subunit ribosomal RNA
Source: RNAcentral